Molecule: transfer RNA, 73 nt
Filed under: Schizoneuraphis gallarum
Lineage: Eukaryota; Metazoa; Arthropoda; Insecta; Hemiptera; Hormaphididae
Description: tRNA-Pro
Source: RNAcentral
CAGUAUAUAUUUUAAUUAAAAUAUUAAUUUUGGAGAUUAAUGAUAAUAUUAUAUAUAUAUAUAUUUAUACUGA